UCCAGGCUUUGGCCAAGGCCAGUGCAGCCCCAGGUUCCCGAGCGGCAGGUUGGGUGCGGACCAUGGCCUCUCACAAGCUGCUGGUGACCCCCCCCAAGGCCCUGCUCAAGCCCCUCUCCAUCCCCAACCGGCUCCUGCUGGGGCCUGGUCCCUCCAACCUGGCUCCUCGCAUCAUGGCAGCCGGGGGGCUGCAGAUGAUCGGGCCCAUGAGCAAGGAUAUGUACCAGAUCAUGGACGAGAUCAAGGAAGGCAUCCAGUACGUGUUCCAGACCAGGAACCCACUCACACUGGUCAUCUCUGGCUCGGGACACUGUGCCCUGGAGGCCGCCCUGGUCAAUGUGCUGGAGCCUGGGGACUCCUUCCUGGUUGGGGCCAAUGGCAUUUGGGGGCAGCGAGCCGUGGACAUCGGGGAGCGCAUAGGAGCCCGAGUGCACCCGAUGACCAAGGACCCUGGAGGCCACUACACACUGCAGGAGGUGGAGGAGGGCCUGGCCCAGCACAAGCCAGUGCUGCUGUUCUUAACCCACGGGGAGUCGUCCACCGGCGUGCUGCAGCCCCUUGAUGGCUUCGGGGAACUCUGCCACAGGUACAAGUGCCUGCUCCUGGUGGAUUCGGUGGUAUCCCUGGGCGGGACCCCCCUUUACAUGGACCAGCAAGGCAUCGACAUCCUGUACUCGGGCUCCCAGAAGGCCCUGAACGCCCCUCCAGGGACCUCGCUCAUCUCCUUCAGUGACAAGGCCAAAAAGAAGAUGUACUCCCGCAGGACGAAGCCCUUCUCCUUCUACCUGGACAUCAAGUGGCUGGCCAACUUCUGGGGCUGUGACCACCAGCCCAGGAUGUACCAUCACACAAUCCCGGUCAUCAGCCUGUACAGCCUGAGAGAGAGCCUGGCCCUCAUUGCGGAACAGGUGCAUGGGCUGCACUCCACAGGAGGAGACAGGGCCACUGGCUGGAUUGUCGAGGGCGCGGCCUGCAGAGAAGGAACCAUCCCUGGGCCUGGAGAACAGCUGGCGCCAGCACCGCGAGGCCGCGGCGUAUCUGCAUGGGCGCCUGCAGGCACUGGGGCUGCAGCUCUUCGUGAAGGACCCGGCGCUCCGGCUUCCCACAGUCACUACUGUGGCUGUACCCGCUGGCUAUGACUGGAGAGACAUCGUCAGCUACGUCAUGGACCACUUCGACAUUGAGAUCAUGGGUGGCCUUGGGCCCUCCACGGGGAAGGUGCUGCGGAUCGGCCUGCUGGGCUGCAAUGCCACCCGCGAGAAUGUGGACCGUGUGACGGAGGCCCUGAGGGCGGCCCUGCAGCACUGCCCCAAGAAGAAGCUGUGACCUGCCCGCUGGCCCACAGCUGGCGCUGGCACACACCUGGCACUGGCACACACCUGUCCCAUGCCCACCCUGAGGGAUCAGGAGCAAACAGACCCUGCAAGGUCCUCCAGGCCUGGGGACAGAAAAGCCACUGACCCAGCCCGGGAGGCAGAACCAGGCAGCCUCCCUGGCCCCAGGCAGCCCUUUUCCCUCCAGUGGCACCUCCUGGAAACAGUCCACUUGGGCGCAGAACCCAGUGCCUUCCAAAUGAGCUGCAGUCCCCAGGCCAUGAGCCUCCCGGGAAUGUUUAAUAAAGGGCCUGGCCACCUCUCCUCA
This is an RNA transcript of Pan troglodytes (chimpanzee), 1641 nucleotides long. It is a transcript of the gene named alanine--glyoxylate aminotransferase, with no coding region annotated. The transcript is spliced from 11 exons. The record is from RefSeq and is a predicted model, not a curated record. NCBI's taxonomy places the organism in Eukaryota, Metazoa, Chordata, Mammalia, Primates, Hominidae.